RNAcentral lists this long non-coding RNA (1640 nucleotides) under Gossypium raimondii (Peruvian cotton). RNAcentral describes it as "long non-coding RNA (GRAI_LNC003208)". The record is from RNAcentral. Lineage: Eukaryota; Viridiplantae; Streptophyta; Magnoliopsida; Malvales; Malvaceae.
CUUCAUAACCCAAAAGCUUUACAGGAAGUCCGAAGAGAACUACAACAAAUAAUUGGCGAAGGGAACGUAGUGGAGGAAUCUAAUGUUACUCGUUUACCUUAUUUGCAAGAUUGCAUCCUCCACUUCCUUUCUUACUCCCUCGAAAAGCUGAAGUAGAUAUCAAGAUUCACAACUUCGUUUAGAGAGGUUCAUAGAAUCAGAAAUUGAUGUUAAAGGAACGAACUUUGGAUUGGUUCCAUUUGGGGGAGGGCGACGAAUUUGCCCUGGAUUACCAUUGGCCAUUAGAAUGUUGCCCUUAUUGUUGGGUACACUUAUUCAUUCAUUUGAUUGGGAACUUGAAGAUGGAGUCACACCUUAAAGUUUAAACAUGGAUGAAGCUUACGGUCUUAUUUUACAGAAAGCUCAACCAUUCAAAGUUAUCCCUCGUUCGAUUUAACAAAUUAUUGUAUAUUUUUAUCUAUAACUAUUGAAAAGUUUAAGAGUUAGAAAAGUUAAGUAUUGAAUUUUUACUGUUGAGUUGAAUUUAUAUUAGAAAAUUGUUUGAUAAAUUAGUAAAUAUAAAUAUUAAAUAUAAUUAUAUUGUUAGAUAAAAGUAAAUAUUGGUUUUUAAUUUUAAUCUUAUUAAUAUAUUAUUUUAUAUAUUUUGGAUAGUUUUGGGUAAGAGAUAAAUAUAGUAAUUUAAAUAUCUCUUUCUUUUAAGAGAAGGAUAAUUUGUUUCAAUUUUUUAAUAAAAUAAAAUCAACUUAAUAUUUUUUAGAUUAAGUGAUAAUUAUAUACCUAUCUACUUAUCUUAUUCAACACUUUUUAAAAAAAAAAUCAUAUUAAGUUAAAAAAUAAGAAAAUGGUUAUCAAAUACAUUUAAAGUAUUAAAUGUUGAAAACUUUCAUUUUCAAUGAAAUGAAUUUUCAAUGAUUUAUCAAACACACCCUUCAUUGAUGGUAAAUUAUUAUAGAAUUAUUUUAGAUUAUCUUUCAUUUUUCUUCAAACAUUGUGGGCAAUGCUAGCAUUCAUUAAUCACAUGAAAACCAUGCGUACCUAUUUACCAGGGAUGUUGUUAGGGGUUGAUAGGAGUCUUAACCCCUAAAAUGGAAAAUUUUUCAUUUAGGUUCUUUAAGUUUUUAAAAAUUUAAAUUAGUAAAGGUAAAAUUAUACUUUGUCCCCCUAAAAAUAAUAAAAAAUUAAUUUAAUUCUUUAAAAAUUAUAAAAAAUUUAAACUAUUAAAAUGAUAAAAUUUCAUUUUUACUAUCGUAAAAAAUAUAAUUUAAUUUCGACUCUCUAAAAAUUUUUUUUUAGCUUCACCCCUGCUAUUUACUACCAUGUCUUAUGUUACAUGCAAGAGGUAAUACUGACAUUUGAACUCAACAAAGAUUCAUUUCGUCAACAACCAAAAUAUCACCAACAUUUGAACUCAACAAAAGUUCAUUUCGUCUACAACCAAAAUAUCAUUGCCACAAUACAUCUCAUAUAUAUUAUGUGAACUAAAAUAUUGGUACCAAGGAUAUAAAUACACAUACCAACUUAGACACGUAGUCAGCUCCCCGAUUUCACCCAGAUUUCUUGAUGAUUAGCCGUCCCGAUCCUUCAACCUCAGCAUGGACCUAACCUAUUCGUUCCCUUGAUUAUUUGUAUAUAUAACUACU